UGAGGAAUAUUGGUCAAUGGACGCAAGUCUGAACCAGCCAAGUAGCGUGCAGGAUGACGGCCCUAUGGGUUGUAAACUGCUUUUAUAUGGGGAUAAAGUGGGGAACGUGUUCCCUUUUGCAGGUACCAUCUGAAUAAGGACCGGCUAAUUCCGGGCCAGCAGCGGCGGUAAUACGGAAGGUUCGGGCGUUAUCCGGAUUUAUUGGGUUUCAAGGGAGCGUAGGCCGUUUGGUAAGCGUGUUGUGAAAUGUAGGAGCUCAACUUCUAGAUUGCAGCGCGAACUGUCCUACUUGUGUGCUCACAACGUAGGCGGAAUUCAUGGUGUAGCGGUGAAAUGCUUAGAUAUCAUGAAGAACUCCGAUUGCGAAGGCAGCUUACGGGAGCGCAACUGACGCUGAAGCUCGAAGGUGCGGGUAUCGAACAGG
This 424-nucleotide ribosomal RNA is filed under the name Verrucomicrobiota bacterium. RNAcentral describes it as "Verrucomicrobia bacterium partial 16S ribosomal RNA". It matches the Rfam family "Bacterial small subunit ribosomal RNA", at positions 355 to 776 of the family's 1533-position model. Lineage: Bacteria; Pseudomonadati; Verrucomicrobiota. The record is from RNAcentral.